Molecule: signal recognition particle RNA, 98 nt
Filed under: Chlamydiia bacterium
Lineage: Bacteria; Pseudomonadati; Chlamydiota; Chlamydiia
Description: signal recognition particle sRNA small type
Rfam family: Bacterial small signal recognition particle RNA
About the family: The signal recognition particle (SRP) is a universally conserved ribonucleoprotein involved in the co-translational targeting of proteins to membranes. Archaeal SRP consists of a 7S RNA and homologues of the eukaryotic SRP19 and SRP54 proteins. In most bacteria, the SRP consists of a 4.5S RNA and the Ffh protein (a homologue of the eukaryotic SRP54 protein).
Source: RNAcentral
GCCGGGGACCUUAUGGAAUGAAGUGCCCGAACCAGGUCAGGGCCGGAAGGCAGCAGCCUUAAGGGCUUCCUUCAUGCUAUGAAUCUAUCUCCGGCUUU